AUUGAACGCUGGCGGCAGGCCUAACACAUGCAAGUCGAGCGGAGCGGCGGACGGGUGAGUCAUGCCUAGGAAUCUGCCUGGUAGUGGGGGAUACCGUCCGGAAACGGGCGCUAAUACCGCAUAAUAUCAGAUGAGCCUCGGUCGGAUUAGCGAGUUGGUGGGGUAAAGGCCUACCAAGGCGACGAUCCGUAACUGGUAUGAGAGGAUGAUCAGUCACACGGGAACUGAGACACGGUCCAGACGCCUACGGGAGGCAUCAGGUGGGAAUAUUGGACAAUGGGCGAAAGCCUGAUCCAGCCAUGCCGCGGGUGUGAAGAAGGUCUUCGGAUUGUAAAGCACUUUAAGUUGGGAGGCGUUACCAACAGAAGAAGCACCGGCUAACUUCGUGCCAGCAGCCGCGGUAAUUC
Molecule: ribosomal RNA, 407 nt
Filed under: uncultured bacterium
Lineage: Bacteria
Description: partial 16S ribosomal RNA
Rfam family: Bacterial small subunit ribosomal RNA
Source: RNAcentral